AUACCCCCUUUGCAGGUUAUUAAAAACCUUUGUUUUGUGAUAUUCCACAUUGCAGUUGUUGAAUUUGUGCUCUUGUUAAUUCGGUCCAUUUAUUGCUGGAUUUGUAAUUAAAAAGCAUAUUAUUUGGUGUCUGAUGAUUCAUAUUCUAUCAUUGUUUGGUAAUUAACAUUCUUGUGCUUGGGAUAAUUCCAUGUGAUGAAAAUUAUUCUGUAUUUUGCUUUGCAAUAUAAUUCAAGUUUGAAAAGGCAUCUUUGAGUAAGCUUCUCUCUGGAUGUUAUAAGGGAAUUCUAUCAUUGGCUAAUGAUGAUUUUCCUGUGAGUAUUAUGUUUCUGCAGAGGUGUUUAGAUUGGCUGUUACAGCUAGGUUUUAUGGUUACAGUCAGCUGUUGGCUAUUGUCACUGACUUUGCUGUUGUGAUUUCCAGUUGCUAUUGGGUUAGA
RNAcentral lists this unclassified non-coding RNA (439 nucleotides) under Hevea brasiliensis (rubber tree). Lineage: Eukaryota; Viridiplantae; Streptophyta; Magnoliopsida; Malpighiales; Euphorbiaceae. The record is from RNAcentral.